RNAcentral lists this ribosomal RNA (468 nucleotides) under uncultured bacterium. RNAcentral describes it as "partial 16S ribosomal RNA". It matches the Rfam family "Bacterial small subunit ribosomal RNA", at positions 28 to 507 of the family's 1533-position model. The record is from RNAcentral.
GACGAACGCUGGCGGCGUGCUUAACACAUGCCAGUCGAACGGAAAGGCCCUGUUCUUGUGGGGUACUCGAGUGGCGAACGGGAGAGUAACACGUGAGUAACCUGACCACGACUUUGGGAUAACUUUAGGAAACUGGGGCCAAUACCGGAUAAGAGCUACUGCGGCCAGGUGGGGGCUGGCAAGUGUCGGCGGUUGGGGAUGGACAAGCGGCUUAUAAGCUUGUUGGUGGGGUAGUGGCAGACCAAGGGUUUGACGGGUAGCCGGCCUGAGAGGGUGACCGGCCGCCAUGGUGCUGAGGUGCGGCCCAGACUCCUACGGGAGGCAGCAGUGGUGAAUAUUGCACAAUGGGCGGAGGCCUGAUGCAGCAGCGCCGCGUGCGGGAUGACGGCCUUCGGGUUGUAGUCCGCUUUCGCCUGUGACGAAGCGUGAGUGACGGUAAUGGGUAAAGAAGCACCGGCUAACUACGUG